RNAcentral lists this ribosomal RNA (806 nucleotides) under uncultured Bacillota bacterium. RNAcentral describes it as "bacterial SSU rRNA". It matches the Rfam family "Bacterial small subunit ribosomal RNA", at positions 74 to 859 of the family's 1533-position model. The record is from RNAcentral. Lineage: Bacteria; Bacillati; Bacillota.
GGGGGCAACUCCUCCAGUCGAGCGGCGGACGGGUGAGUAACACGUGGGCAAUCUGCCCGAAAGUGGGGAAUACCCCAGGGAAACUUGGGCUAAUACCGCAUGUGAUCGCGACCUCGAAGGGGGAUGCGAUCAAAGGGGGGUCGCAAGACCUCCCGCUUUCGGAGGAGCCCGCGCCCGAUUAGCUAGUUGGUGAGGUCACGGCUCACCAAGGCUUCGAUCGGUAGCCGGCCUGAGAGGGUGAUCGGCCACACCGGAACUGAGACACGGUCCGGACUCCUACGGGAGGCAGCAGUGGGGAAUCUUGCGCAAUGGGCGAAAGCCUGACGCAGCAACGCCGCGUGAAGGAUGAAGGUCCUUGGAUUGUAAACUUCUGUCGGCCGGGAAGAAAUUCAUCGGGGUUAAUACCCCCGGUGAUUGACUGUACCGGCAAAGGAAGCCCCGGCUAACUCUGUGCCAGCAGCCGCGGUAAUACAGAGGGGGCAAGCGUUAUUCGGAAUUAUUGGGCGUAAAGGGCGCGUAGGCGGUCCAUCAAGUCUCUCGUGAAAUCCCUCGGCUUAACUGAGGACGUGCGGGAGAUACUGCUGGGCUUGAGUCCGGAAGAGGGUGGUGGAAUUCCCAGUGUAGCGGUGAAAUGCGUAGAUAUUGGGAGGAACACCGGUGGCGAAGGCGGCCACCUGGGCCGGAACUGACGCUGAGGCGCGAAAGCGUGGGGAGCAAACGGGAUUAGAUACCCCGGUAGUCCACGCCGUAAACGAUGGGCACUUGGUGUCGCGGGUAUCGACCCCUGCGGUGCCGAAGCUAACGCA